Molecule: non-coding RNA, 1210 nt
Organism: Rhopilema esculentum
Lineage: Eukaryota; Metazoa; Cnidaria; Scyphozoa; Rhizostomeae; Rhizostomatidae
Source: RefSeq, a predicted model, not a curated record
GGACAGAACAUACGCUGGACAGAGCGAACAAGAUUUUUCCUGUUGUCUGUUGCCAACUGAGCUGAUUCGAAAAAGAUGAAUUCUUAUCUGGUUGUCCUGUUAUCGGUCAUAUUAUAUUCAGUCCAUUCAAUGCGCCAAAUGAAUAAUUUUCCAGUAGAAGCAAACUGCCCACAGUACCACAGACAAUGCUCAUCGCAUAAAGAUUGCGAAGGUUGCAAAAGUGCCAAAUUGUUCUGCCGUAAGCAGGUGAAAAAUCUUAUGAUGCCCAAGUUUAUCUGCAAGUCAAAAUCUGAAGAUGAUCCACACAAAAAACGCGAACCUGGCAUAGAAUCGUCACAGUUGUUUGAGAAGAUUAGACGCCAGGAUUUUGUGGAAGGAAGAAGAACCAGUUCUUUACGCAAAUCGAAUAACUAUCAUAUUAAUGCCCUUUUGUUGACGAAGAUUUCAUUCCGGCUCAGCCGAAAUCUUGUAUUGCCCGUCCGAAGCACUCGACAGGUUCGAAAAUCAAAGGAGAUGAAAGAGAAAAGAAGUCCAAGAUAUAAGAAACUUUUGGAAGCAAAAGAUAUAUAUAUUAUUCAUAAAUGAUUUCAAGUUUGCUGUUUAUAAUAGAAUAAUGGGGCUCAACAAUUCAGAUUGACUGUAGUGAAUUAUCUUUUAAAAAUGAAACAGGUACAUGUUCAAACAGUUUACUAGCAAUUAAACAAAAUUAGAUGGGAAUAACGAAUCAAACGAUGAUAUUUACUUUUUGUUGUUUUGAAUCGUUGGUUUCUAGUUGUUUGUUUUUCUCAAGGAAACAAGACAAAAUUAAGGCAUCAUCAUGAAAAUAGAAUAUGGCGUAACACUGUCUAUUCACAUUAUCUGCUUCUUUUAAAACACAGGGCUACACGGGGGUAAAUAGUAAAUGAAACCUUAUCGUCAAUGAAACUUUUGGUUGAGAUUACUUUAAGAAAUACAGUAGCAAUAUUUGCCAAACUUCAUCAGAUUCCAGAAUGGAAUCCAGAAAUACAGCUGAGAAGUGGAAGCUUUCUUGAAAAUUCCAAAUUAUGAAAUUAGUAAUAAUGUAUUGGUUGAUAGCUGCAGCCUGGUUCAGGAUCUUCCUAUCCAGCUUUAGGAAGAUCCAGCGUUCAGUUCAUUUCAUUUUAAACUCCACAACAUAUAUGAAAACACUCUAAUUUCAGCAACUCAAAACAAUCAAACUAGCUACAUGCAG